Molecule: long non-coding RNA, 359 nt
Filed under: Homo sapiens (human)
Lineage: Eukaryota; Metazoa; Chordata; Mammalia; Primates; Hominidae
Description: non-protein coding lnc-MRFAP1L1-4:1
Source: RNAcentral
CUGAACCUUAGGUUGGACUCAACUGGAUUGGGCGUCUGACUUUCUCACCCACUGGCCUGCCCAGCUCUUGGGAAAGAAUCACAUCUUGUUUUUCUUUGUGUCCUAGUCUUCCCAUGGUGCUUGAUUUCUGAGCCAGCCCUUAGUCUGACUGAAUUCUCCUGUCUGCCUUUCUGUCUCGCAUUCCUUAUGGAGUGCCUACAUUUUGUGUAGUCGUUCAUUCACUCAGUCACUCUGACAAUCGCUUAUUGCACAGAUAUGUGAGUGUACCAGGGAUGUGCUACCUGCUUGCUGAGCAUGCAGCCAAGUGGAUGCAGCUAACAUCCACUUGUUACUCCAGGUGAGUAAGGCAGACAGUCAUC